CCUACGGGAGGCAGCAGUGAGGAAUAUUGGUCAAUGGCCGUAAGGCUGAACCAGCCAAGUAGCGUGAAGGAAGAAGGAUCUAUGGUUUGUAAACUUCUUUUAUAGAGGAAUAAAGUUAUCCACGUGUGGAUAUUUGCAUGUACCCUAUGAAUAAGGAUCGGCUAACUCCGUGCCAGCAGCCGCGGUAAUACGGAGGAUGCGAGCGUUAUCCGGAUUUAUUGGGUUUAAAGGGAGCGUAGAUUGUUUUUUAAGUCAGCUGUGAAAGUUUGGGGCUCAACCAUAAAAUUGCCGUUGAUACUGGAAGCCUUGAGUGUGUUUGAGGUAGGCGGAAUGCGUGGUGUAGCGGUGAAAUGCAUAGAUAUCACGAAGAACUCCGAUUGCGAAGGCAGCUUACUAAGCCACAACUGACACUGAAGCACGAAAGCGUGGGGAUCAAACAGGAUUAGAUACCCUGGUAGUC
Molecule: ribosomal RNA, 460 nt
Filed under: uncultured bacterium
Lineage: Bacteria
Description: partial 16S ribosomal RNA
Rfam family: Bacterial small subunit ribosomal RNA
Source: RNAcentral